RNAcentral lists this ribosomal RNA (253 nucleotides) under uncultured bacterium. RNAcentral's name for it is "partial 16S ribosomal RNA". It matches the Rfam family "Bacterial small subunit ribosomal RNA", at positions 524 to 776 of the family's 1533-position model. The record is from RNAcentral.
UACGUAGGUGGCAAGCGUUGUCCGGAUUUACUGGGCGUAAAGAGCGCGCAGGCGGUCGUUCAAGUCGCGUGUGAAAGCCCCCGGCUCAACUGGGGAGGGUCACGCGAUACUGAUCGACUCGAAGGCAGGAGAGGGAAGUGGAAUUCCCGGUGUAGUGGUGAAAUGCGUAGAUAUCGGGAGGCACACCAGUGGCGAAGGCGACUUCCUGGCCUGUUCUUGACGCUGAGGCGCGAAAGCUAGGGGAGCAAACGGG